AUUUUAGGGCAGGACCAAAGGCGCUGGCUUCCUUAUGAAAAGCUAAUUAAAAGUUGAUCCCAUGUCAGGAACAAACCGUCGCAUCGAGCUGUGUGGGCAAAAUGCUUGCAGAAAUAGAUUAUGCAAGCAUAAGAAUAUCAAGAUGAGUUGAAAAUCCUCCGAGCUUAACAAAGUUACUAAUAAAUUUUAACCGAUCCAUAUAAAACCUUUUAACUGACUUAUAAAUGGGCUCUACUAAAACUGGAGUAGCCAAAGCUAUC
This is a long non-coding RNA of Zophobas morio, 260 nucleotides long. RefSeq lists it as uncharacterized. NCBI's taxonomy places the organism in Eukaryota, Metazoa, Arthropoda, Insecta, Coleoptera, Tenebrionidae. The transcript has 3 exons. The record is from RefSeq and is a predicted model, not a curated record.